UACCAGACUCCUACGGGAGGCAGCAGUGGGGGAUAUUGCACAAUGGGGGAAACCCUGAUGCAGCGACGCCGCGUGGGCGAAGAAGUAUUUCGGUAUGUAAAGCCCUAUCAGCAGGGAAGAAGAAAUGACGGUACCUGAGUAAGAAGCACCGGCUAAAUACGUGCCAGCAGCCGCGGUAAUACGUAUGGUGCAAGCGUUAUCCGGAUUUACUGGGUGUAAAGGGAGCGCAGGCGGCACGGCAAGCCUGAUGUGAAAGCCCGCGGCCCAACCGCGGGACUGCUCUGGAAACUGCGUCGCUGGAGUACGGGAGGGGCAGGCGGAAUUCCUGGUGUAACGGUGAAAUGCGUAGAUAUCAGGAGGAACACCGGCGGCGAAGGCGGCCUGCUGGACCGUGACUGACGUUGAGGCUCGAGAGCGUGGGGAGCAAACAGGAUUAGAUACCCGAGUA
Molecule: ribosomal RNA, 448 nt
Filed under: uncultured bacterium
Lineage: Bacteria
Description: bacterial SSU rRNA
Rfam family: Bacterial small subunit ribosomal RNA
Source: RNAcentral